UACGAAGGGUGCAAGCGUUACUCGGAAUUACUGGGCGUAAAGGGUGCGUAGGUGGUUCUUUAAGUCUGCUGUGAAAGCCCCGGGCUCAACCUGGGAAUGGCAGUGGAUACUGGAGAGCUAGAGUGCGGUAGAGGGUAGUGGAAUUCCCGGUGUAGCAGUGAAAUGCGUAGAGGUCGGGAGGAACACCAGUGGCGAAGGCGGCUACCUGGACCAGCACUGACACUGAAGCACGAAAGCGUGGGGAGCAAACAGG
Molecule: ribosomal RNA, 253 nt
Filed under: uncultured bacterium
Lineage: Bacteria
Description: partial 16S ribosomal RNA
Rfam family: Bacterial small subunit ribosomal RNA
Source: RNAcentral